GAUGAACGCUGGCGGCGUGCCUAAUACAUGCAAGUCGAGCGAACAGACGAUGAGCUUGCUCCUCUGACGUUAGCGGCGGACGGGUGGGUAACACGUGGAUAACCUACCUAUAAGACUGGGAUAACUUCGGGAAACCGGAGCUAAUACCGGAUAAUAUAUUGAACCGCAUGGUUCAAUAGUGAAAGACGGUUUUGCUGUCACUUAUAGAUGGAUCCGCGCCGCAUUAGCUAGUUGGUAAGGUAACGGCUUACCAAGGCAACGAUGCGUAGCCGACCUGAGAGGGUGAUCGGCCACACUGGAACUGAGACACGGUCCAGACUCCUACGGGAGGCAGCAGUAGGGAAUCUUCCGCAAUGGGCGAAAGCCUGACGGAGCAACGCCGCGUGAGUGAUGAAGGUCUUCGGAUCGUAAAACUCUUUUAUUAGGGAAGAACAAAUGUGUAAGUAACUAUGCACGUCUUGACGGUACCUAAUCAGAAAGCCACGGCUAACUACGUG
Molecule: ribosomal RNA, 497 nt
Filed under: uncultured bacterium
Lineage: Bacteria
Description: partial 16S ribosomal RNA
Rfam family: Bacterial small subunit ribosomal RNA
Source: RNAcentral